Molecule: unclassified non-coding RNA, 273 nt
Filed under: Venturiaceae sp.
Lineage: Eukaryota; Fungi; Ascomycota; Dothideomycetes; Venturiales; Venturiaceae
Description: partial contains 5.8S ribosomal RNA, internal transcribed spacer 2, and large subunit ribosomal RNA
Rfam family: 5.8S ribosomal RNA (bases 1-71)
Source: RNAcentral
GUGAGUCAUCGAAUCUUUGAACGCACAUUGCGCCCCCUGGUAUUCCGGGGGGCACACCUGUUCGAGCGCCAUUUCAACCCUCAAGCCCCGCUUGGUGAUGGGCCCCGCCUACGGGCGGGCCCGAAACUCGUGGGCGUCGUCGUUCGGCUCCAAGCGUAGCAAAACCCUCGCUUGGGCUCCCGGACGGAGGCCGCCCGGAACGAAUUUUUACAAGGUUGGCCUCGGAUCAGGUGGGGAUACCCGCUGAACUUAAGCAUAUCAAUAAGCGGAGGA